GACGAACGCUGGCGGCGUGCCUAAUACAUGCAAGUCGAGCGGACUUACCAAGCUUGCUUUUUAAGUUAGCGGCGGACGGGUGAGUAACACGUGGGCAACCUGCCUGUAAGACUUGGAUAACUUCGGGAAACCGGAGCUAAUACCGGAUAAUCCUUUUCUACUCAUGUAGAAAAGCUGAAAUACGGUUUACGCUGUCACUUACAGAUGGGCCCGCGGCGCAUUAGCUAGUUGGUGAGGUAACGGCUCACCAAGGCGACGAUGCGUAGCCGACCUGAGCGGGUGAUCGGCCACACUGGGACUGGACCACGGCCCAGACUCCUACGGGAGGCACCAGUAGGGAAUCUUACGCAGUAGACGGAAGUCUGACGGAGCAACGCCACGUGUGUGAUGAAGGUUUUCGGUUCGUAAAACUCUGUUGUUAGGGAAGAACAACUUCGAGCGUAACUGCUCGUAACUUGACGGUACCUGGCCAAAAAGCAACGGCUAACUACGUG
Molecule: ribosomal RNA, 494 nt
Filed under: uncultured bacterium
Lineage: Bacteria
Description: partial 16S ribosomal RNA
Rfam family: Bacterial small subunit ribosomal RNA
Source: RNAcentral